CACAGUUAAAAGACUUUGAAACAUCAAGUUUUUGUAGUCCAGCUGCAGCUCGUGAUCUGCCGGGAUUUUCCCAAUUUGUUCUACAGUUCUCCAUCGAAAUGUCAAAGGAUUUUGCCACAAGAUCACUUUACAUGAGUGAAGAAACUCCACUAACAAAUAAGACUAAUACAGAUGGAACAUUAACGAAUGGGGCUGAUACAGAUGAAACAGCUGGCUUAACCCAGUUCCAGUUAAAACGACGCUGGGAAUCAAGUCCGCAUCCAUAUAUAUUCUUUAAUCCUGAUCAUCACUCCAUGACCUUCCUAGGAUUUAAUAUUGAGAGACAUUCAGGAAAUCUGAUUGAUCAACAGACAGGUCGUAUUCUCAAAGCUAAUCUGAUGUCCAGAGAUCUUUAUCGCCGUUUAUACCAGAAUAGAGUCAACUUGAAUGAAAAUUUCAAUGAUUUGAAAAGGUGAUUAUUAGCUCAUUAAUUUAUGAAAGAUAGGGGAUCAGCCCCUAGAAUGUGUUGCUGGAAAAUGUGUUGUGGUGGUUUCCCGUUGAGUUGAUUGUAAUGAAUGAUAUCCUAAAAGUUUACCAAAGUACCAAAAAGUCUCAAAUUUUGAGGGAAAUGCUAAAGUUUUAGUCAUUUUCCUUUUAAACAAACAUAAAUUCAUCAAUUUAAAAAACAAAAACAAAUGUAAACAAGUAAACAGUGAGGCUGAU
Molecule: long non-coding RNA, 702 nt
Organism: Patella vulgata (common limpet)
Lineage: Eukaryota; Metazoa; Mollusca; Gastropoda; Patellidae
Exons: 3
Source: RefSeq, a predicted model, not a curated record